AGUCGUACGCUUCUUUUUCACCGGAGCUUGCUCCACCGGAAAAAGAAGAGUGGCGAACGGGUGAGUAACACGUGGGUAACCUGCCCAUCAGAAGGGGAUAACACUUGGAAACAGGUGCUAAUACCGUAUAACAAUCGAAACCGCAUGGUUUUGAUUUGAAAGGCGCUUUCGGGUGUCGCUGAUGGAUGGACCCGCGGUGCAUUAGCUAGUUGGUGAGGUAACGGCUCACCAAGGCUACGAUGCAUAGCCGACCUGAGAGGGUGAUCGGCCACAUUGGGACUGAGACACGGCCCAAACUCCUACGGGAGGCAGCAGUAGGGAAUCUUCGGCAAUGGACGAAAGUCUGACCGAGCAACGCCGCGUGAGUGAAGAAGGUUUUCGGAUCGUAAAACUCUGUUGUUAGAGAAGAACAAGGAUGAGAGUAACUGUUCAUCCCUUGACGGUAUCUAACCAGAAAGCCACGGCUAACUACGUGCCAGCAGCCGCGGUAAUACGUAGGUGGCAAGCGUUGUCCGGAUUUAUUGGGCGUAAAGCGAGCGCAGGCGGUUUCUUAAGUCUGAUGUGAAAGCCCCCGGCUCAACCGGGGAGGGUCAUUGGAAACUGGGAGACUUGAGUGCAGAAGAGGAGAGUGGAAUUCCAUGUGUAGCGGUGAAAUGCGUAGAUAUAUGGAGGAACACCAGUGGCGAAGGCGGCUCUCUGGUCUGUAACUGACGCUGAGGCUCGAAAGCGUGGGGAGCAAACAGGAUUAGAUACCCUGGUAGUCCACGCCGUAAACGAUGAGUGCUAAGUGUUGGAGGGUUUCCGCCCUUCAGUGCUGCAGCUAACGCAUUAAGCACUCCGCCUGGGGAGUACGACCGCAAGGUUGAAACUCAAAGGAAUUGACGGGGGCCCGCACAAGCGGUGGAGCAUGUGGUUUAAUUCGAAGCAACGCGAAGAACCUUACCAGGUCUUGACAUCCUUUGACCACUCUAGAGAUAGAGCUUCCCCUUCGGGGGCAAAGUGACAGGUGGUGCAUGGUUGUCGUCAGCUCGUGUCGUGAGAUGUUGGGUUAAGUCCCGCAACGAGCGCAACCCUUAUUGUUAGUUGCCAUCAUUCAGUUGGGCACUCUAGCAAGACUGCCGGUGACAAACCGGAGGAAGGUGGGGAUGACGUCAAAUCAUCAUGCCCCUUAUGACCUGGGCUACACACGUGCUACAAUGGGAAGUACAACGAGUCGCGAAGUCGCGAGGCUAAGCUAAUCUCUUAAAGCUUCUCUCAGUUCGGAUUGUAGGCUGCAACUCGCCUACAUGAAGCCGGAAUCGCUAGUAAUCGCGGAUCAGCACGCCGCGGUGAAUACGUUCCCGGGCCUUGUACACACCGCCCGUCACACCACGAGAGUUUGUAACACCCGAAGUCGGUGAGGUAACCUUUGAG
Molecule: ribosomal RNA, 1413 nt
Filed under: Enterococcus durans
Lineage: Bacteria; Bacillati; Bacillota; Bacilli; Lactobacillales; Enterococcaceae
Description: bacterial SSU rRNA
Rfam family: Bacterial small subunit ribosomal RNA
Source: RNAcentral